Molecule: unclassified non-coding RNA, 117 nt
Organism: Macaca fascicularis (crab-eating macaque)
Lineage: Eukaryota; Metazoa; Chordata; Mammalia; Primates; Cercopithecidae
Rfam family: Metazoan signal recognition particle RNA
About the family: The signal recognition particle (SRP) is a universally conserved ribonucleoprotein. It is involved in the co-translational targeting of proteins to membranes.
Source: Ensembl
GCUGGGCGUGGUGGCUCAUGCCUGUAAUCCCAGCACUUUGGGAGGCUGAGGUGGGUGGGUCACUUGAGGUCAGGAACUCGGUACGAGCCUGGCCAACAUGGUGAAACCCCAUCUCUA